Octodon degus (degu) is the source of this 107-nucleotide small nuclear RNA. The record is from Ensembl. Lineage: Eukaryota; Metazoa; Chordata; Mammalia; Rodentia; Octodontidae.
GUGCUCGCUUCGGCAGCACAUAUAUUAAAGUUGGAACAAUACAGAGAAGAUUAGCAUGGCCCCUGUGCAAGGAUGACAAGCAAAUUCGUGCAGCGUUCCAUAUUUAA